UCCUACGGGGGGCAGCAGUGAGGAAUAUUGGUCAAUGGGCGGGAGCCUGAACCAGCCAAGUCGCGUGAGGGAAGACGGUCCUACGGAUUGUAAAUCUCUUUUGCCGGGGAGCAACGGGGUCCUUGCGAGGGCCCGAUGAGAGUACCCGGAGAAAAAGCAUCGGCUAACUCCGUGCCAGCAGCCGCGGUAAUACGGAGGAUGCGAGCGUUAUCCGGAUUUAUUGGGUUUAAAGGGUGCGUAGGCGGUCCGUUAAGUCAGCGGUAAAAUUGCGGGGCUCAACCCCGUCGAGCCGUUGAAACUGGCAG
This 305-nucleotide ribosomal RNA is filed under the name uncultured bacterium. Its description in RNAcentral is "bacterial SSU rRNA". It matches the Rfam family "Bacterial small subunit ribosomal RNA", at positions 337 to 639 of the family's 1533-position model. The record is from RNAcentral.